This 428-nucleotide ribosomal RNA is filed under the name uncultured bacterium. RNAcentral's name for it is "bacterial SSU rRNA". It matches the Rfam family "Bacterial small subunit ribosomal RNA", at positions 354 to 796 of the family's 1533-position model. The record is from RNAcentral.
GUGGGGAAUAUUGCGCAAUGGGGGAAACCCUGACGCAGCGACGCCGCGUGAAGGAAGAAGGUCUUCGGAUUGUAAACUUCUUUAAUCGGGGACGAAGGAAGUGACGGUACCCGAGAAAAAAGCCACGGCUAACUACGUGCCAGCAGCCGCGGUAAUACGUAGGUGGCGAGCGUUGUCCGGAAUUACUGGGUGUAAAGGGCGCGUAGGCGGGUAUGCAAGUCAGAUGUGAAACCCCGAGGCUCAACCUUGGGCUUGCAUCUGAAACUGUAUAUCUUGAGUGUUGGAGAGGGAAGUGGAAUUCCUAGUGUAGCGGUGAAAUGCGUAGAGAUUAGGAGGAACACCAGUGGCGAAGGCGACUUCCUGGCCAAUAACUGACGCUGAGGCGCGAAAGCGUGGGGAGCAAACAGGAUUAGAAACCCUAGUAGUCC